Long non-coding RNA from Bos taurus (domestic cattle), 1289 nucleotides. NCBI's taxonomy places the organism in Eukaryota, Metazoa, Chordata, Mammalia, Artiodactyla, Bovidae. The record is from Ensembl.
GAAGUGCCCACCUAACACCCACUGCAAUUCUCGGUCACUUGCCGAGGCUGACGGGGCUGGGGUCACCGCCUUGAGGCUAUGCAGCCCCCUCCUCCUGCUGAGGAGGUCCAGCCAGGAGCAGGGGAUGUGCAGACGGGGAGGGGGCAGAGAUGGGAGUUGCAGGGCGGCAAGGGGAGCUCCGUGGGGCCCUCAGGACCAGCUGUUGGGUCCUGCGGUGCCCACGUGGAGUUGCACCUCCCAGGAGCUGCUGAAAGCCCGCCUGAUGCUGUGAGGGUCUUGGCACAAACCAGGCCUCUCCCUGGGGGUUGACACAGGCCCCCCGGGGGAGAAAGCAGGGGAGGAUGUGGAGCCUCCAGGCUGAGCAGUGGCUCGAGAGGCCACCUUGCCUGCCUCCCCCCCCAGGGUCACCGGGAACCUCCCUCCCACGCACACCCUCUGCGGUUGCGGCCUCCCUGUCUCCCUGGUGCCCCGAGGGGCCAUGUGCCCUCGGGGAUGACUACCGGGCCAUCAGCGAGAGCAAGCAGCUGCCGAGCACUAAACCCCGUUUCUGGCCGUGAAGAGCAGGUCCUCCGAAGAACCUGGGCAUCCGGGCACUGUUACCAGGACAAAGGCAUCGAUCUCGGCUGAGAGAACGCUGAGAUGUAUUGACAGAGAGGUUUGCAUCGAUCCAGCAGGAAGUAAGUUCCAGCCUCUGCAGGUGGAAGAGACACUUGUCUGCUCAGCAGUGCCAGAAGCGCUGGUUUGAUGGAGGGGAGGAAGCUGAGAUGACCCCAGGGAGACAGGACAAGGAGGACAGCGGUGUGUGGUCACCUGCCCGGGAAUGAGACCCACUCCGUACGAGAGACGAGGGGGCUACAGACGACGGGGAGGCUCGGGGCUCCGAGGCUGCAGGACCCCCGGCCUGGGGUCACCGAGACAGCCUCCUUCCCCAGGAUGAGCAGAGCGGCUGCAGAGUGGUGGGGAGAGGCCGCCCACGGAGGGGUGGGCGUGGACACGGCAUGGCCCUGCCUGGCCCACCCACAGGGAGACACGCGGUGGAGCCCCCGGGGGUCUCCCAGGACCAGCUCCUCCCACCCCGACCUCAGGGGAAGAGCUGUGGUCAUGGAAACCGCUCCAUCGUCUGAAUUUCAGAGCUGGGAAUAUUUGAGUCAAUCAAGAAAUUCAAUUAGCGGAGUGACAUGUUGUCACGCGUGGCUCUGCCGCCCCGCUUCCCAUUUUCCGGGAGAUAAUUGGUGUAUUUGCGACAAAACUGCAAUUCAAUAUUUAUCGGCUGCUGCUUUUCAAUAAAG